This 512-nucleotide ribosomal RNA is filed under the name uncultured beta proteobacterium. RNAcentral's name for it is "bacterial SSU rRNA". It matches the Rfam family "Bacterial small subunit ribosomal RNA", at positions 118 to 624 of the family's 1533-position model. The record is from RNAcentral. Lineage: Bacteria; Pseudomonadati; Pseudomonadota; Betaproteobacteria.
UCGGAACGUACCUUAUCCGUCGGGGGAUAACGCAGCGAAAGUUGCGCUAAUACCGCAUACGCCCUGAGGGGGAAAGCGGGGGACCGUAAGGCCUCGCGCGAUUAGAGCGGCCGAUGUCUGAUUAGCUUGUUGGUGAGGUAAAUGCUCACCAAGGCGAUGAUCAGUAGCUGGUCUGAGAGGACGAUCAGCCACACUGGGACUGAGACACGGCCCAGACUCCUACGGGAGGCAGCAGUGGGGAAUUUUGGACAAUGGGGGCAACCCUGAUCCAGCAAUGCCGCGUGAGUGAAGAAGGCCUUCGGGUUGUAAAGCUCUUUUGUCAUGGAAGAAACAGCAGCCCUAACACAGUCUGCGAAUGACGGUACCUGAAGAAUAAGCACCGGCUAACUACGUGCCAGCAGCCGCGGUAAUACGUAGGGUGCGAGCGUUAAUCGGAAUUACUGGGCGUAAAGCGUGCGCAGGCGGUUAUACAAGACAGGCGUGAAAUCCCCGGGCUUCAACCUGGGAAUGGC